GGGGCUGACUGGCUUUGACAGCGUGUAGAAGCGAUCAGUAAGCAUGCAGAGCUUUGAUGUUCAAGCUCUAUAAUCGCAAGAGCAUCGAACUAUAAUUGGCGAAAAUAACAACUACGCUCUCGCUGCGUAAUCUGAAGUAUAGUAGGAUUCCUUAAUUCGCCUCAAAGUGAGGUGAACGAGACAUCUCCCCUUUGCCUGGUUCCGAGACGUUAGGACAAGGAGAUGCAGAGAAAUUCGGAAAUGGGAAUAGUCAUGUCUUGAGGCUGUUCCGAAAUUUAAAGACUAAGGAUGCCAUUGGUGGUCGUGAGCCUGUGACAUCUCGAAAACCAAUUCAAUGACUAAGCAUGUAGAAAGCUCAUUGAUUCCGCGUUUGGACGAGGGUUCAAUCCCCUCCAGCUCCACUA
RNAcentral lists this transfer-messenger RNA (404 nucleotides) under Muribaculaceae. RNAcentral describes it as "CAG-485 sp014800525 Standard tmRNA". It matches the Rfam family "transfer-messenger RNA". From Rfam's summary of the family: Bacterial tmRNA, also known as 10Sa RNA or SsrA, is named for its dual tRNA and mRNA-like properties. Its role is to liberate the mRNA from a stalled ribosome. RNAcentral also lists the same sequence under 1 other name. The record is from RNAcentral. Lineage: Bacteria; Pseudomonadati; Bacteroidota; Bacteroidia; Bacteroidales.